AUGUGCUUCCUUUUCUUUUUCUACUUUUUUGCAUAAACUCUUGUGUUGCCAUUGGAAGUCCCUUCCCCGUCGUCAUGAUGUCCUUUUGAAUUGUUGGAUUAUCUCUAGAAAGUAAUGGUGAAUGGAUAAAAGAGAUAUGGAUUAUACUGUGAAUGGCCCUCUUUCAAAUUGUAGUCGGUCAAUUUAAGCAUGAAUACAAAUUCCUUGCCGCAAAGGCUCUCAAGUUGCAUUGGAACAUGAGUAUCACCUUUGGUCAUUCGAUUUACCAACUUCGAUGCCGAAGUAUCAAACAACUUUUAUGCAACCACAUUAAAAAGAACCAAAGUUGUGUUCCCUCCGCUGUCUUUUACCUUAAUGUAUAUCUUUUACCUUUGUGUGCACAAAAAAUUACUAUUUUUUGAAAGUAAACUUGUGGUACAAUGCUAACCGUUUCCAUACCUAACCCACGGGAAAUUACAUUCUUUUUAUAACUUAUUGCAUGUGUAGACGCCAUAUUUAGGUUCUAAAUUUUUUUUUUGCAUAAGUUGCACGAUAUAUAUUGCCAAUCAAAGUAGGUAUCUAUUUGACUGAUCUGAAUCUCCAAUGCAACGAUACAUUCCUAGGAAACAAAAGUUAAAAGAGAUGAAUAUGCAGUAGAAGCUUCUUGAUCUAUUGAAUUGGUCAUAAUAUACUAAGGGAUGUUAAGGUACUAACAUCUAUGUCAUAACUCUAGUCUGAAUCCAGUAACUCCAUAAUAGUCAUCUGAUUCUGGAACAUUGCGUCCGCAAUAGUUAUGUUACUUCC
Solanum pennellii is the source of this 783-nucleotide long non-coding RNA. RefSeq lists it as uncharacterized. Lineage: Eukaryota; Viridiplantae; Streptophyta; Magnoliopsida; Solanales; Solanaceae. The transcript is spliced from 3 exons. The record is from RefSeq and is a predicted model, not a curated record.